UGAGGAAUUUUCGUCAAUGGGGGAAACCCUGAACGAGCAACGCCGCGUGCAGGAAGAAGGUCUUCGGAUCGUAAACUGCUUUUCUCUGGGACGAGUAAGGACGGUACCAGAGGAAUCAGCCUCGGCUAACUACGUGCCAGCAGCCGCGGUAAUACGUAGGAGGCGAGCGUUGUCCGGAGUUACUGGGCGUAAAGCGCACGCAGGCGGUCAGCUACAUCUGUAGGGACAGGGCACAGCUUAACUGUGUCAGGCUUAUGGAAAUGGGCAGACUUGAGGGCUUCAGAGGGAUGGGGAAUUCCGGGUGGAGUGGUGAAAUGCGUAGAGAUCCGGAAGAACACCAAAGGCGAAGGCACCAUCCUGGGAAGCACCUGACGCUCGGGUGCGAAAGCUAGGGGAGCGAACGGGAUUAGAUACCCCCGUAGUCC
RNAcentral lists this ribosomal RNA (425 nucleotides) under uncultured bacterium. RNAcentral's name for it is "bacterial SSU rRNA". It matches the Rfam family "Bacterial small subunit ribosomal RNA", at positions 355 to 796 of the family's 1533-position model. The record is from RNAcentral.